This 400-nucleotide ribosomal RNA is filed under the name uncultured bacterium. RNAcentral's name for it is "bacterial SSU rRNA". It matches the Rfam family "Bacterial small subunit ribosomal RNA", at positions 355 to 747 of the family's 1533-position model. The record is from RNAcentral.
UGGGGAAUUUUGGACAAUGGGGGCAACCCUGAUCCAGCCAUGCCGCGUGAGUGAAGAAGGCCUUCGGGUUGUAAAGCUCUUUCGGCCGGAACGAAAUCGCAUCCUCUAAUACGGGGUGUGGAUGACGGUACCGGAAGAAGAAGCACCGGCUAACUACGUGCCAGCAGCCGCGGUAAUACGUAGGGUGCGAGCGUUAAUCGGAAUUACUGGGCGUAAAGCGUGCGCAGGCGGUUCGCUAAGACAGGUGUGAAAUCCCCGGGCUUAACCUGGGAAUGGCGCUUGUGACUGGCGGGCUGGAGUACGGCAGAGGGAGGUGGAAUUCCACGUGUAGCAGUGAAAUGCGUAGAGAUGUGGAGGAACACCGAUGGCGAAGGCAGCCUCCUGGGCCAGUACUGACGCU